GAUGAACGCUGGCGGCGUGCCUAAUACAUGCAAGUCGAGCGAACGGACGAGAAGCUUGCUUCUCUGAUGUUAGCGGCGGACGGGUGAGUAACACGUGGAUAACCUACCUAUAAGACUGGGAUAACUUCGGGAAACCGGAGCUAAUACCGGAUAAUAUUUUGAACCGCAUGGUUCAAAAGUGAAAGACGGUCUUGCUUUCACUUAUAGAUGGAUCCGCGCUGCAUUAGCUAGUUGGUAAGGUAACGGCUUACCAAGGCAACGAUGCAUAGCCGACCUGAGAGGGUGAUCGGCCACACUGGAACUGAGACACGGUCCAGACUCCUACGGGAGGCAGCAGUAGGGAAUCUUCCGCAAUGGGCGAAAGCCUGACGGAGCAACGCCGCGUGAGUGAUGAAGGUCUUCGGAUCGUAAAACUCUGUUAUUAGGGAAGAACAUAUGUGUAAGUAACUGUGCACAUCUUGACGGUACCUAAUCAGAAAGCCCCGGCUAACCCCGUG
RNAcentral lists this ribosomal RNA (497 nucleotides) under uncultured bacterium. Its description in RNAcentral is "partial 16S ribosomal RNA". It matches the Rfam family "Bacterial small subunit ribosomal RNA", at positions 28 to 507 of the family's 1533-position model. The record is from RNAcentral.